This 252-nucleotide ribosomal RNA is filed under the name uncultured bacterium. Its description in RNAcentral is "partial 16S ribosomal RNA". It matches the Rfam family "Bacterial small subunit ribosomal RNA", at positions 524 to 775 of the family's 1533-position model. The record is from RNAcentral.
UACGUAGGGUGCAAGCGUUGUCCGGAAUUAUUGGGCGUAAAGAGCUCGUAGGCGGUCUGUUGCGUCGGCUGUGAAAACCCGGGGCUCAACCCCGGGCCUGCAUCCGAUACUGCCCGACUAGAGGUAGGUAGGGGAGAUCGGAAUUCCCGGUGUAGAGGUGAAAUUCGUAGAUAUCGGGAGGAACACCGGUGGCGAAGGCGGCGACCUGGGUUGACAUUGACGCUGAGGCGCGAAAGCGUGGGGAGCAAACAG